CCAAUAGCGUAUAUUAAAGUUGUUGCAGUUAAAAAGCUCGUAGUUGAAUUUCGGGGUCAGUAGGCUGGUCAUGCCACUGGUAUGUACUGGUCUCACUGAUUCCUCCUUCCUGAUGAACCGUAAUGCCAUUAAUUUGGUGUUUCGGGGAAUUUGGACUGUUACUUUGAAAAAAUUAUAGUGUUUAAAGCAAGCUAACGCUUGAAUACAUUAGCAUGGAAUGAUGAAAGAGGACGUUCGAUCCUAUUUUGUUGGUUUCUAGGAUUGACGUAAUGAUUAAUAGGGAUAGUUGGGGGCAUUAGUAUUCAAUUGUCAGAGGUGAAAUUCUUGGAUUUAUUGAAGACUAACUACUGCGAAAGCAUUUGCCAAGGAUGUUUUCAUUAAUAAAGAACGAAAGUUAGGGGAUCGAAGACGAUCAGAUACCGUCGUAGUCUUAACCAUAAACUAUGCCGACUAGGGAUCGGAUGAUGUUAAUUUUUUAAUGACUCAUUCGGCGCCUUACG
RNAcentral lists this ribosomal RNA (500 nucleotides) under uncultured Glomeromycotina. RNAcentral's name for it is "partial small subunit ribosomal RNA". It matches the Rfam family "Eukaryotic small subunit ribosomal RNA", at positions 591 to 1092 of the family's 1831-position model. The record is from RNAcentral. Lineage: Eukaryota; Fungi; Glomeromycota.